AAAGAACCACAGGGCUAGAGAAGACAAACUUGAGAUCAAGAAGAUGAUAAUCUAUGCAAUUGCAGAAGCAAUUAAAGAUUUAGAAGAACUGAUACAAUGACAGCAUUAAGUUCUACACAAAGUGGCAACUGAAGAACAAAGAAGCCAAAGUUAAUUGUUCCCUUUUUUUCCAAUUUUUUAACAUUGUUGUUACAUUAAUUGAAGUUGUAUUGAAGGAUGUAAAUCAUCAAUUUAAUGUUUAACACAG
RNAcentral lists this unclassified non-coding RNA (247 nucleotides) under Hevea brasiliensis (rubber tree). Lineage: Eukaryota; Viridiplantae; Streptophyta; Magnoliopsida; Malpighiales; Euphorbiaceae. The record is from RNAcentral.